CAGAAAGCUACAGGCCAAAAUGCAAGUUAGGAGCCCAAGACUUUGGACAGUACUUAACUUUAAUCACUAGCCUCUUAGCCGUGCCUCCUUUUUUCUCAAGGAAUCAUUGUCCCCUCUCCUCUCCUUGGCUAGCAGCUAGCAUCAGUGAUCGACCAGCACGGCAGCACGUACUGGUUAGUUUUCCUUUUUCCCUUUUCCGAUCGACAGGAGCCGGCAGUACUGGCCGGUACUGUAAAGUUUUUGGGCGGUUAUAAGUGCAUCUUUCACACUCUCCAGAUCGAUCUAUCUGCUAUGUAUCUAUCUGCCCUUGCAGAUGUAAACAUGCUUCCUUCCAAGGGCCAGCCACCCGCAUAAAUAUGAGUGAGAUCAUCAUCGACUGCUUGCUAUAUCGUCUCGCACACGCCAGCUUGAAUUCCCAUAUGCAUCUCGACGAACCUUUCUAGAUAGAUAGGCAGAUAGAACUGAGCCGUGACCUCACCCUUAAUUUGGCUCCUCUCUCUUUCUCCACACCACUGAUCACUAUUGACGAGAUGGAGGCAGCGGCACCAAGGUCCUCGUCAACUAGCUACUAGAUCGUCCGGUCGUCCGUUGAUCGAUCUCCCAUGGAGGCGAGCAAGGGAGGCGACGGGAGCUCGGGCGCCUCGGCGAGCAACGAUGACAGCACGGUGGAGGAGGAGGGAGCGGGCCGUGAAGAGCAGGAGGACGCCUGCAGGGGGAACUCUUUGUCGUCGUCGUCGGUGCGCCCCUACGUCCGCUCCAAGAACCCGCGCCUCCGCUGGACGCCGGAGCUCCACCACUGCUUCGUCCGCGCCAUUCACAGGCUCGGCGGCCAAGACCGUGCAACUCCGAAGCUCGUUCUUCAGUUGAUGAACGUCAGAGGGCUUAGCAUAGGCCAUGUCAAGAGCCACCUCCAGAUGUAUAGGAGCAAGAAGAUCGAUGACUCAGGCCAGGUCAUAGGUCAUCUCCCCUUGCCCCAUGCCUUCCAUCAUCGCCAGAGUGGUGCGGGCACCAUGUUGUCAAGGUUUGGUGCUGCUGCAUGGCCUCCAUGGAGAAGCUUCCAUGAACCAUAUUGGGCCCAUGGUCGCCCCUUUCUUGCAACUGGAUCGAGGACCUACAACUCUUUAGAAGCUGAAGCCGAGGCGGCUUUCCUUCGGUCCCGAGCUCAACAUGUAGCUCGAGCUGCAUCUAGCAAUCCGGGACUGAUGAUGCAGUCAGGCUGUCCAUCUUGGAACGAUCAUCAUACCAUGAACCACCAGCAUAAACGAUUGCUGCAACCGACAGUGUGCAACGCUGAUGAUAUCCAUAUUUCUCUUGAUCUUGAUCUCGAUCUCUCGCUCGGUCUCCCCGUGCCGAGGAGGGAGGCGAAGCGGAAGAGAUCGGGCUGCGGCUGGGUGAAAGAAGGCCCUGAUGAGAAUGGAGCCGAUGAAGAACAAGUGGAUGAGACCAGCAGUGCCACUAUGCUAUCUCUGUCCUUGUUCUCUUCUGGGGAUGCUCCUCGGAAGAUGAGUAGCACUAGUGCUAGUGAUCGUGCAGUAGAUGAGCAUGCUACAAGGAGGGCAAGUACUCUUGAUCUCACCAUAUGAUCUACACAAUGUGGUGAUAUCUCGUGGUACUUAUCCAUGCAUACAUAUGUUAUAUAUUAUGUAGAGCGAACAUAUAUACCUAUGUUUUACCAUACAUAUUAUGUUAUCUUCUAAUUAAUGUUUGUUGGUUUAUAGGUCCAUC
RNAcentral lists this ribosomal RNA (1725 nucleotides) under Triticum aestivum (bread wheat). RNAcentral's name for it is "partial small subunit ribosomal RNA". The record is from RNAcentral. Lineage: Eukaryota; Viridiplantae; Streptophyta; Magnoliopsida; Poales; Poaceae.